Molecule: long non-coding RNA, 606 nt
Organism: Homalodisca vitripennis (glassy-winged sharpshooter)
Lineage: Eukaryota; Metazoa; Arthropoda; Insecta; Hemiptera; Cicadellidae
Exons: 2
Source: RefSeq, a predicted model, not a curated record
GUUGUCUUAUUAGUAACGUGUUUGUAACAAAUUAAUUUCUAGCAAAUUAAGAAACAGUGUACACAAAUUUUGCAGUAACCUAUUUCGGAGACGUAAAUCAUUCAGAUUGCUCUAGGGUGAAACAUUGUUUUAUUUAACAAUGCAUACAGGCGUCUUCUGUAUAAAAACCACUUUUAAAUUUUCGACAUGUUGUCGUAGUGGCUUGAUAUAACGUGGAAUUAUAUGUGCAUUGCUGUUCCCAGUGAGAGGUUACAACAGUUAGUGAAAGUUAACCCACUCGUCAACUGAAAUAUGGCAUCUUCACUAAAUCUUUAAAUCCGAGUGUCCGCAAGAAGAACCUCUCCGCUUGGUACCUCUCAAAAUGAACAGCGCCUUUGUCCUUAACCACUUCUCCAGCCCUCAGGUUAAUAUGUACCAAGUUUGGUAUUCGAGUACUAUGAUGUAGCCUGAGAGAGAAUUUCAUAUCCACAUACUAAACAGAGAGAUGCAUUGAGACCCUAGAUCCUUUGUCAAGAGUGCGUAAGAAAGACAAUCUUGUGACUGAGCAUUAUUGAUUUAGGUACUGUAAUAAACUUUUUAAUAAAAUUACCAGUUAGAUAGAUUAAA